UACGGGGGGGGCAAGCGUUGUUCGGAAUUACUGGGCGUAAAGGGCUCGUAGGCGGCCAACUAAGCCCGCCGUGAAAUCCCAAGGCUUAACCUUGGAACUGCGUCGGAUACUGGAUGGCUUGAAUUCGGGAGAGGGAUGCAGAAUUCCAGGUGUAGCGGUGAAAUGCGUAGAUAUCUGGAGGAAUACCGGUGGCGAAGGCGGCAUCCUGGACCGACAUUGACGCUGAUGAGCGAAAGCUAGGGGAGCAAACGGG
RNAcentral lists this ribosomal RNA (253 nucleotides) under uncultured bacterium. RNAcentral describes it as "partial 16S ribosomal RNA". It matches the Rfam family "Bacterial small subunit ribosomal RNA", at positions 524 to 776 of the family's 1533-position model. The record is from RNAcentral.